RNAcentral lists this microRNA (21 nucleotides) under Oryza sativa (Asian cultivated rice). Its description in RNAcentral is "osa-miR1846b-5p". Lineage: Eukaryota; Viridiplantae; Streptophyta; Magnoliopsida; Poales; Poaceae. RNAcentral also lists the same sequence under 1 other name. The record is from miRBase by way of RNAcentral.
AGUGAGGAGGCCGGGGCCGCU